This is a long non-coding RNA of Mesocricetus auratus (golden hamster), 772 nucleotides long. RefSeq lists it as uncharacterized. The transcript has 4 exons. The record is from RefSeq and is a predicted model, not a curated record. Lineage: Eukaryota; Metazoa; Chordata; Mammalia; Rodentia; Cricetidae.
UGGAAUGUAAGAAAGGACACCACAGCCCCCUUCAAAGGUUUCCAGAGUUAGCCUCUUCAAGGACCUAGCAGCUCUAGUAGGCCCCACCUCUUAAAUGUCCCACGACGCCUACAAGACUGGAGAUAGACUCUAACAUGUAGCCUUCUGGGAUCCUGCAGAUCAAGCCAAAGCCAUGCAGGUACCUUGUCAGUCACUCUGAAGAAAAUGUCAGCUGCCAAGAAGUUCUGGACCACAGGAUCCUCUGCAAAGAAAGCAAGCAUGAGAAGGACUUGGAGUUCCCAUCUGGUGAACCCCUAAUUUUAGGAGUCUCUAAGUAAAUAGCACCAUCCUCCAUGAAGACCUGGAUCACACUCUGCAGGUGGACCAUAUCCCAGGUUCCAUGUUCCAGUCAAGAUGAUGCUCCGAGCAGUUGUCACCAGCUCUACCUCACACUAGCAGGCGGCUGCCUUGACUUUGUAUGGAGGCAUGCUGUUAACUACGCCAAGGGGGUCCAAUCCUGGAGUCAAGAAUACCUGCAGAGUGAGCCUGCCUGCACUAUCCAGCGCCUUCUGCACCAACGCAAGUAUUCUUGCCUUUUCUUUUGUCCUGGCAACUUGCCCAAGUUAGUCCUUUCUCUGGAGGAAGGUUUAUUUGAACUUCAUUCUACCAUUAAUAAAAUUGGCACCAGACGGAUCUGAAGCUGAAGAAAAAACAAAACUCAGCCAAACAAAAAGCAGAACCUGCCCAACGAUGGGGUUUCAGUAAGUGCAGAAACUUUACACAAAAUUUUAAC